UGCCGUGAUCGUGGUCUGCAGCA
RNAcentral lists this non-coding RNA (23 nucleotides) under Arabidopsis thaliana (thale cress). The record is from RNAcentral. Lineage: Eukaryota; Viridiplantae; Streptophyta; Magnoliopsida; Brassicales; Brassicaceae.